GCCUUGCCAGCCCGCUCAGAAACUCAAAGGAAUUGACGGGGGCCCGCACAAGCGGUGGAGCAUGCGGUUUAAUUCGAUGAUACGCGAGGAACCUUACCUGGGCUCAAAUGUAUGUUGACGUAUUCUGAAAGGGAUACUUCUUCGGACAAUAUACAAGGUGCUGCAUGGUUGUCGUCAGCUCGUGCCGUGAGGUGUCGGGUUAAGUCCCAUAACGAGCGCAACCCCUAUCAUUAGUUGCCAUCAGGUCAAGCUGGGGACUCUAAUGAAACUGCCUACGCAAGUAGUGAGGAAGGUGGGGAUGACGUCAAAUCAGCACGGCCCUUACGUCCAGGGCUACACACGUGCUACAAUGGUCGGUACAAAGGGUUGCCAAGCCGCGAGGUGGAGCUAAUCCCAUAAACCGAUCGUAGUCCGGAUCGCAGUCUGCAACUCGACUGCGUGAAGUCGGAAUCGCUAGUAAUCGUGAAUCAGAAUGUCACGGUGAAUACGUUCCCGGGCCUU
RNAcentral lists this ribosomal RNA (501 nucleotides) under uncultured Sphingobacteriales bacterium. RNAcentral's name for it is "partial 16S ribosomal RNA". It matches the Rfam family "Bacterial small subunit ribosomal RNA", at positions 903 to 1382 of the family's 1533-position model. The record is from RNAcentral. Lineage: Bacteria; Pseudomonadati; Bacteroidota; Sphingobacteriia; Sphingobacteriales.